ACUCUUGUUUCUCUUCAGAUCAUAUAAAUCUUUCACCUUUUACUAAAGAUUUCUGUGCAGGCGAACAAGAGUUGUCCUAAUUUUUUAAAGCCCUUAUGAGAGGUAGGGUG
Small nuclear RNA from Cyprinodon variegatus (sheepshead minnow), 110 nucleotides. Its record names the gene U5. It matches the Rfam family "U5 spliceosomal RNA". Rfam says of the family: U5 RNA is a component of both types of known spliceosome. The precise function of this molecule is unknown, though it is known that the 5' loop is required for splice site selection and p220 binding, and that both the 3' stem-loop and the Sm site are important for Sm protein binding and cap methylation. Lineage: Eukaryota; Metazoa; Chordata; Actinopteri; Cyprinodontiformes; Cyprinodontidae. The record is from Ensembl.